Molecule: transfer RNA, 73 nt
Filed under: Solirubrobacterales bacterium
Lineage: Bacteria; Bacillati; Actinomycetota; Thermoleophilia; Solirubrobacterales
Also listed under: 6 other names
Description: tRNA-Ala
Rfam family: tRNA
About the family: Transfer RNA (tRNA) molecules are approximately 80 nucleotides in length.
Source: RNAcentral
GGGGCUAUAGCUCAGUUGGGAGAGCGCCUGGAUCGCACCCAGGAGGUCGUCGGUUCGAGUCCGACUAGCUCCA